AUUGAACGCUGGCGGCAGGCCUAACACAUGCAAGUCGAGCGGAUGAAGGGAGCUUGCUCCUGGAUUCAGCGGCGGACGGGUGAGUAAUGCCUAGGAAUCUGCCUGGUAGUGGGGGAUAACGUCCGGAAACGGGCGCUAAUACCGCAUACGUCCUGAGGGAGAAAGUGGGGGAUCUUCGGACCUCACGCUAUCAGAUGAGCCUAGGUCGGAUUAGCUAGUUGGUGGGGUAAAGGCCUACCAAGGCGACGAUCCGUAACUGGUCUGAGAGGAUGAUCAGUCACACUGGAAAUGAGACAGGGUCCAGACUCCAACGGGAGGCAGCAGUGGGGAAUUUUGGACAAGGGGCGAAAGCCUGACCCAGCCAUGCCGGGUGUGUGAAGAAGGUCUUCGGUUUGUAAAGCACUUUAAGUUGGGAGGAAGGGAAGUAAGUUAAUACCUGGCUGUUUUGACGUUACCAACAGAAUAAGCACCGGCUAACUUCGU
This 483-nucleotide ribosomal RNA is filed under the name uncultured bacterium. RNAcentral's name for it is "partial 16S ribosomal RNA". It matches the Rfam family "Bacterial small subunit ribosomal RNA", at positions 30 to 506 of the family's 1533-position model. The record is from RNAcentral.